This 328-nucleotide ribosomal RNA is filed under the name uncultured bacterium. RNAcentral's name for it is "bacterial SSU rRNA". It matches the Rfam family "Bacterial small subunit ribosomal RNA", at positions 568 to 898 of the family's 1533-position model. The record is from RNAcentral.
CGCGUAGGCGGCUUUUUAAGUGAGGCGUGAAAGCCCUGGGCUUAACCCAGGAGGUGCGUUUCAUACUGAAAGGCUUGAGUACGAGAGAGGAAAGUGGAAUUCCUAGUGUAGAGGUGAAAUUCGUAGAUAUUAGGAAGAACACCAGUGGCGAAGGCGGCUUUCUGGCUCGUAACUGACGCUGAGGCGCGAAAGCGUGGGGAGCAAACAGGAUUAGAUACCCUGGUAGUCCACGCUGUAAACGAUGAGUGCUAGAUGUUGGAAGGAAACUUUCAGUGUCGCAGCUAACGCAUUAAGCACUCCGCCUGGGGAGUACGGUCGCAAGAUUAAA